This 775-nucleotide long non-coding RNA is filed under the name Struthio camelus australis. RNAcentral's name for it is "lncRNA (ENSSCUG00000001206.1)". Lineage: Eukaryota; Metazoa; Chordata; Aves; Struthioniformes; Struthionidae. The record is from RNAcentral.
AUUUAUUCAUGUAUGCUUUAUUUAUUCUAACUGUGUCAUGGUAGAAUAUAUAUUGAUAAAAAACAUGCAUACACUGAGUAGUAUGAAAUGAUCGGGGAGUAUGUGCUGCUGAGGGACAGGAGCAGAGCGGAGCAACACCUCUGCCAGAGCCUGCCAUACCUGGAGAACCUGGACGCAUCCUUGCGGGAGGCAGCUGUGAGGUUCAUUGGGCUCAUCGGGCAGCAAGUGAAGAAGCGGAGGAAGGAGAAGGUGCAGGAGAUGUGCACUGCCCUCCAGCCCCUGGAAAAUGAUGCAGAACCUUUAGUCCGUUGCCUGGUGUCACAGACCAUCAUGAACCUGAGGGUGCCAAGGAGAACAUCAAGAUUCCACCUCGGAGCACUGUGUCCCUGGCUCCCGAGAGCAUGGGCGAGGUGGCACCCUCCCACCAGGACGUGACUCUGUUUGAGCAGAGCUGACGCAGCUGUGCCAAUGCCAUGGUGCUGCACACCACGGACACACGCAAGUGUGCUGGAAGGUCUGGCUCAUUGCUGGCAUCUCCCGCCGCCCCAGGACAGCUCGACUCCUCAAGCACAGCCCCUGUUGUGCUACCACUUCAUGGCUUUGUUGUGCUUCCCGCAAAGAUACAGCCCCGUUUCCUCAGCCGGAGUGAGUGUUCUUUUUUCAGGGAGCCAAAGGCAAGGGGCAAAACUUGCUGCCUGCAAGAAUCUGGCUUGUCCUGGGCGGGACGGUGUGUCCGCUUGUUCCAAUAUCCCAGGCCAGCAUAGAGCAGCCUGAC